UGGGACUAGAGGCAUGCAGUACCAUGCCCAAUGACAAUUCCAAUUUUAAUUAAGCCCACAUUAUCAAUUCUUUCUUUCAUGGAUUUGUUUUGGAGCUGCAUUUAAAAAACUCAAUAUGAAACAUGGUCAUAAGUAUUUUCUACUACAAUUUUUAUAGUUUCACAUUUUCAAUGUAAGCCAUGGACUACUUAGAGUGAAUUUUGUGAAUCUGAUAAAGGUUUUCCCUGUCCAUUACUCCUAUAAAUUUUCUAAGCACUCCAUCACCAUCUGUGUAGCAGAUGCUCUUUUCUUCAUUGAAGGUCUUUUUCCUUUGACAAAAUUAGCACUCUGUUGGUAUGGGUGAGCUUUGGCCUCUCCAUUCAUCUCCAUUUAUCUCCCUGUGCAUUUCUUCACAACAUCACAUUUCCUCACUACUUCAGCUUUCUGACAGGUGUUGAAAUAUAGAUGUGUGAGUUCUUUGUCCUUCUGUAGUCUGUGUUAUCUAUUCUUGGUUCAGAAACAGUUUGCUGGAAAUUUGAGUGUGAUUGAGCUGAAUCUGCAGAUGAGGUGUGAGAGAAUUUCAUCUUGACUAUGUAGAGACGUGAACAAGAAAUAUCUCUAUUUAUUUAUAUUUUGUUUGAUUUCUUUCAAUUUUCCAAGGUUUUCUGAAAGCAC
Molecule: long non-coding RNA, 654 nt
Filed under: Marmota monax (woodchuck)
Lineage: Eukaryota; Metazoa; Chordata; Mammalia; Rodentia; Sciuridae
Source: RNAcentral